AGUGGUCAUGAUAGGCAUUCUUGUUUUGUUCCUAUUCUCUAGGAAUGCUUUCAAGGUAUCCUGUAAACAACUUAUGGUAUUUUUAGUAAAUUUAGAAAUUUCCAGCAUUCCCAUUGCAGCUCAGCAGGUUAGGAACCCCACAUAGUAUCCGUGAGGAUUCAGUUUUGAUCCCUGUCCUCACUCAAUGGGUUGAGGAUCCAGCAUAGGUCAUCGAUGCAGCCUGGAUCCUGAGUUGCUGUGGCGUAGGCCGGCAGCUGCAGCUCUGCUUCAACCCCUAGCCUGGGAACUUCCAUGUGUCACAGUUGUAGCCAUAAAGAAAAAAAAGAAAAAGUUUUCCUUCUAUUCUUAAUUUGCUAAGAGUUUUUAAUAAUCAUAAAUUCUGUUGAAUUUUAUCAAAAACUUGUUCUGUAUUUAUUGAGAAAAAUGAUCAUUUUGCUGUCUUAAUUCCCUUACUGUGGUCAGUGAUCAGGAUUCCUUUCCUAUUCUUUAAACCAACCUAUUGAGAGGUAAGACCAUUCAAGUCAUGAUGUAAUUUGUUUUUAAUAGCUGGAUUUUGUUUAAGAUUUUUGCUUAAUAUCAAGAUUUAUUUCUUUAUAAAAUAGGUUGGAAAGUGGUUUUUUUCCCCUAGUUUCUGGAAGAGCUUCUGUAAGAUUUACAUUACUUCUUCCUUAGAUGUUUUAAUAUAUAUUUGAAGUGAACUGUGUUUGGUUGGGGUCUGGUGUGGUCUUUGUGGGACACUAACUCAGUUUUUUUAAUUAAUAAGAAUGUUUCUUAUAUAAUAUUGGUGAGUGAAAUAUUCCUGAGAAUCCAUCCAUUUCAUCUACAUUUUCAAGUUUUUUAGCACAGUUAAUCCUGCCCUCUUUUUAUCCUAUGCCAGACCUGUAUUGAUGUCCUUUUCAUUCCUGAUACUGUUUGUAGUAUACAGAUUUAUACCGCUGUUUAUUAUAUAAGGUAUUUGUAUCUUCUUUCUUUUUUAGUUGGCCAGUCUUAACCAGAAGCUUAUUGCUUUUACUGUUUUUUUUCCAAAGAGCCAAUAUUUUUCCUUCCAGUUUUAUUGAGAUAUAAUUGACAUAUAUAGCAUUAUAUAAGUUUUAGGUGUGCAGCAGAAUGAUUGGACUUACAUAAAUCAUGAAAUUAUUACCAUGAUAAUUUUAGUGAGCAUCCAUCAUCUCAUAGAUAAUAAAAGAAAAUUUUUUAAAAUAUUUUUCCUUGUGAUAAUAACUCUUAGGAGUUCUUAAAGCCGUCUUAACAAUUAUCAUCUGUGUGUGUGUGUGUGUGUGUGUGUGUGUGUGUGUGUGUGUGUACACACAGCAUUGUUAAUUAUAUUAGUCGUGUUGUACAUUACAUCCUUAGUACUGAUUUGCAUUAUAACUGGAAGAUUGUACCUUUGGACCACCUUCACCCAGUUCUCCCUCCCCCAUACCCUCACUUCUGGUAAAUAGGAAUCUGAUCUCUUCUUCUAUGAGGUUGGUUGAUUGGUUGGUUGGUUUUUUUAAGUAUAAUUGACCUACAACACUGUAGUGGUCCCUGGUGUACAACAUAGAACUUUGAUAUUUCUAUACAUCACAGAAUGGUCAGUAUAAGUCUAGCUACCAUCUGUCACCAUACGAAGAUAUUGUUAUUAUUGACUGUAUUCCCCAUGUUGUGCAUUUCAGCCUGGUGACUCAUUUAUUUGGUAUGGAAUUUUGUACCUCUUAAUUUCCCUCACCUAUUUCACUCAUCCCUGUACCCAUCUCCCCUCUGGCAACCACCUGUUUGUUUUCUGAAUAUAUGACUGUUUCUGUUAUAUUUGUUCAUUUGUUUUGUUUUUUAGACUCCACAUACAAGUAAAAUCUUGUAAUAU
This 1843-nucleotide long non-coding RNA is filed under the name Sus scrofa (pig). RNAcentral describes it as "lncRNA (ENSSSCG00065008371.1)". Lineage: Eukaryota; Metazoa; Chordata; Mammalia; Artiodactyla; Suidae. The record is from RNAcentral.